RNAcentral lists this ribosomal RNA (468 nucleotides) under uncultured bacterium. Its description in RNAcentral is "bacterial SSU rRNA". It matches the Rfam family "Bacterial small subunit ribosomal RNA", at positions 335 to 798 of the family's 1533-position model. The record is from RNAcentral.
ACUCCUACGGGAGGCAGCAGUGAGGAAUAUUGGUCAAUGGAGGGAACUCUGAACCAGCCAUCCCGCGUGUAGGAAGACGGCCUUAUGGGUUGUAAACUAGCUUUUAUACAGGAAGAAACGUACCCGCGUAGGGUGCCUGACGGUACUGUAGGAAUAAGCACCGGCUAACUCCGUGCCAGCAGCCGCGGUAAUACGGAGGGUGCGAGCGUUAUCCGGAUUUAUUGGGUUUAAAGGGUCCGUAGGCGGGUUAAUAAGUCAGUGGUGAAAUCCCAUCGCUUAACGAUGGAACUGCCAUUGAUACUGUUAGUCUUGAAUGAGGGUGCAGUGGUUGGAAUGUGUAGUGUAGCGGUGAAAUGCAUAGAUAUUACACAGAACACCGAUUGCGAAGGCAGAUCACUAACCCUAAAUUGACGCUGAGGGACGAAAGCGUGGGGGAGCGAACAGGAUUAGAUACCCUGUAGACAUCAC